GUUUGGGCCCUAAUCCUGUACUCAUUUACAACACAUUUGCACAUAAUGAAGUGUGACAGCACCUAAUACACAACGUGCAAACCUGGCAAUACUGCAUUUGUAACCUAGCAACCACCCAAAUGAAUGGAAACAUCAGGUGAAUAAAUGCAUGGUUUACCCAGAUUGAGGUUGUAAUUGAUACUGGUGUAGAGCUUCCCCUGUAGCUCCAGGGUUAUUACCACAAGCUUUCAGGUGGCAGACCCUAUGCCAGAGCUGUGUUUGACGGGUGGGUGGUUAGGUAUUGAGUAGACAGGUAGAGCUUUCUCUCUUCUGUCUGGAUUUACAGUCAGAGAAGGAAUGAAAAGGCCAAAUAUGCUACUACUCUGUAAAACCAAGUUUAGGCUCACUCCAAAAUACAUGUGCGCUAGUCCAAAUCAGUAGGAGGAGUCUAAAAUAUGAUAUUUUGACAAGCACGGCAAAGUAAACUGAUG
RNAcentral lists this long non-coding RNA (470 nucleotides) under Anser brachyrhynchus (Pink-footed goose). Its description in RNAcentral is "lncRNA (ENSABRG00000003267.1)". Lineage: Eukaryota; Metazoa; Chordata; Aves; Anseriformes; Anatidae. The record is from RNAcentral.